This 229-nucleotide ribosomal RNA is filed under the name uncultured bacterium. RNAcentral describes it as "partial 16S ribosomal RNA". It matches the Rfam family "Bacterial small subunit ribosomal RNA", at positions 568 to 796 of the family's 1533-position model. The record is from RNAcentral.
UGCGUAGGUGGUUAGGUAAGUUUGGUGUGAAAUCUCCGAGCUCAACUCGGAAACUGCACUGAAAACUGCCAGACUAGAGGAUUGGAGGGGGGACUGGAAUUCUCGGCGUAGCGGUGAAAUGCGUAGAUAUCGAGAGGAACACCAGUGGCGUAGGCGAGUCCCUGGACAACUCCUGACACUGAGGCACGAAAGCUAGGGUAGCAAACAGGAUUAGAUACCCUGGUAGUCC